This 793-nucleotide ribosomal RNA is filed under the name uncultured archaeon. RNAcentral's name for it is "bacterial SSU rRNA". It matches the Rfam family "Archaeal small subunit ribosomal RNA", at positions 85 to 876 of the family's 1478-position model. The record is from RNAcentral.
ACGGCUCAGUAACACGUGGAUAACCUGCCCUUGGGUCCGGCAUAACCCCGGGAAACUGGGGAUAAUACCGGAUAACGCACAUAUGCUGGAAUGCUUUAUGCGUAAAAUGGAUUCGUCUGCCCAAGGAUGGGUCUGCGGCCUAUCAGGUAGUAGUGGGUGUAAUGUACCUACUAGCCAACAACGGGUACGGGUUGUGAGAGCAAGAGCCCGGAGAUGGAUUCUGAGACAUGAAUCCAGGCCCUACGGGGCGCAGCAGGCGCGAAAACUUUACAAUGCGGGAAACCGUGAUAAGGGGACACCGAGUGCCAGCAUCAUAUGCUGGCUGUCCGGGUGUGUAAAAUACACCUGUCAGCAAGGGCCGGGCAAGACCGGUGCCAGCCGCCGCGGUAACACCGGCGGCCCGAGUGGUGAUCGUGAUUAUUGGGUCUAAAGGGUCCGUAGCCGGUUUGGUCAGUCCUCCGGGAAAUCUGACGGCUCAACCGUUAGGCUUUCGGGGGAUACUGCCAGGCUUGGAACCGGGAGAGGUAAGAGGUACUACAGGGGUAGGAGUGAAAUCUUGUAAUCCCUGUGGGACCACCUGUGGCGAAGGCGUCUUACCAGAACGGGUUCGACGGUGAGGGACGAAAGCUGGGGGCACGAACCGGAUUAGAUACCCGGGUAGUCCCAGCCGUAAACGAUGCUCGCUAGGUGUCAGGCAUGGCGCGACCGUGUCUGGUGCCGCAGGGAAGCCGUGAAGCGAGCCACCUGGGAAGUACGGCCGCAAGGCUGAAACUUAAAGGAAUUGGCGGGGGAG